AAAACUAACAUAAUAUUUUAUUAAAUGUAAACUAAAUUCAUAAUAAUUCUUAAAAUAUUAAAGCAUACAUUCUAACUACAUCUAAAAAUUACCCCAGCUCGUGGGCGGGUGUGGAGCACUUCAAGUUGUAAAUGAGCUUAUAGCGCCUGUAUAAGGGUUAAUACCAAAAUCACUUUAGCUCAUGGACAAGUCUGGAUCGCUCGUGGAUAAAUAUGCUUCCUAUCUGCAAAUAAGUUUUAGUUAAAUGUUGGACCUUGUAUUAUAAUGAAUUAUUGAUAUGUCACCACUUAACUGCAAUAAUACAAUCAAACUUGUUUAUGAGUUUUUUUCAACCUCCAAUUCAUCAACUGAUAAGCCUGAAUUUCUAUGACUCAAAAUCGAGUUAUUACAUCCUUGUUGGGCUUACCCAUUAACAUACUCAAUUUAAAGAGGAGAAGAUGCCAUGAAUUGGUUUAAUGGAUCAACUAACUCAGCAUUCUCAUCUUCCAUUUCUUCUUCUUAUUUUUUCUCAACUUUAUCAAUAUGACACCUAUAUUUGUCAUCACUUGGUUCUGAUUCUCCAUAACAAUAUAAAGCAAAUGUCAUAGCCAACCGGGCUUUCAUAUCUUCAAUUUUUUGUGUCGACAUUUGGUUCCUUGUGUUACCACUUAAACUAAAUAGACCAACUAACCGUGAUGUGUCAUUUGAGUGUAACUUGGCACCCGAGUGAAAUCCGUGCUGGAAGACUUUCCUCGUAUAGGCUUGCUAUUCAAGUAGAACUCUAGAAUAUUCAUCCCAUUAAUGUUGAAAAAACCCAAACAUGAAAUUCACACUUUCAUCACUACAAAUAGGUACAUCAACAUAACGAGUUGCACUAAACCCAUUUUGCAUCAUCCUCCAAGUAAUUUUAACUUUAAUUUCAAAUAUAUUUCAGCCAAGUCGAUUUGAUAACAUUUAAAAUAACUUGUUAAGAGAUAUAUCUAAUGUAACAAUUAGAAACUCAUUACUUCCUCUAUUAUAAGUGAUAUCAUUGUUGGUAUUGGCAAUGAUAUCAUCAUAAAAGCAUAAUAUUCUAAUAGUACAUGAUAUUCUAUUAAACAACACAACAAAAUUCAAGCUUAAUUCAUCAAUAUUGUGAAGUUAAUCAAGGUAUAUAAUUUAUUAACAAAACCCUAACAAUAACAUAAUCAAUAAAAACUCAAAAUUCAUUAAUUUUCUCCAUAAAUAAUAAAAUUAUAAACUCAAUUGAUGUAUUUCAUAGCUAGGUAUCAUAUUUUAUACCUAAUUCGACAAAAUCUCUUAUUUAAAAUAAAAAAAUUCUAACUCUAAUUCACAAUCAAUAACAAUCCAAAAUCAUUAAUUUUCUUCAAAAAUAAGAAAAUUAACAACUCUAAUCAAUAUAUUUUAUAGCUAGUUAACCUAAUUUACAAAACCCUAUUUUUUUCUAAAAAUCUAUAAUGCUAAACCCUAUUAUUUUCAAAAUCAACAAUCAGCACAAACUAUACUAAAUUGAUAGAAAGGAAGUGUGUAAUAUACCUCCUCUAAGUGUUGAAUGUGGGUGAUGGUAAUAGAUAGCGGCGGUGGCAGCUGAAACUUGGUGAGAGAAUGGCAAGUGGAGAGAGGAAGGCUCGUCACAUUAGAGAGAGUGAGGGAGAGGGUGGUCUCGUGGUGGCUCAGAGAGUGUUUCAUAAUGGGGAGAGAAGGUGGUGGUUAUGGGCAGUGACAAGUUCACGUGGACGGUGGUUGUGGGGAGUGAAGGAGAGAAAAAAUAAAGAGAAAAGGGUAGAAAGUAGAUCUAAGGUUGUAGUUCAAUUGAAAUGACAAUCCUCACA
Molecule: long non-coding RNA, 1811 nt
Filed under: Populus trichocarpa (black cottonwood)
Lineage: Eukaryota; Viridiplantae; Streptophyta; Magnoliopsida; Malpighiales; Salicaceae
Description: long non-coding RNA (PTRI_LNC001859)
Source: RNAcentral